RNAcentral lists this ribosomal RNA (232 nucleotides) under uncultured bacterium. RNAcentral describes it as "partial 16S ribosomal RNA". It matches the Rfam family "Bacterial small subunit ribosomal RNA", at positions 99 to 334 of the family's 1533-position model. The record is from RNAcentral.
CGGACGGGUGAGUAAUGUCUGGGAAACUGCCUGAUGGAGGGGGAUAACUACUGGAAACGGUAGCUAAUACCGCAUAACGUCGCAAGACCAAAGCGGGGGACCUCCGGGCCUCGCGCCAUCAGAUGAACCCAUAUGGGAUUAGCUUGUAGGUGGGGUAACGGCUCACCUAGGCGACGAUCCCUAGCUGGUCUGAGAGGAUGACCAGCCACACUGGAACUGAGACACGGUCCAG